GAUGAACGCUGGCGGCGUGCCUAAUACAUGCAAGUCGAGCGAACAGACGAGGAGCUUGCUCCUCUGACGUUAGCGGCGGACGGGUGAGUAACACGUGGAUAACCUACCUAUAAGACUGGGAUAACUUCGGGAAACCGGAUCUAAUACCGGAUAAUAUAUUGAACCGCAUGGUUCAAUAGUUAAAGACGGUUUUGCUGUCACUUAUAGAUGGAUCCGCGCCGCAUUAGCUAGUUGGUAAGGUAACGGCUUACCAAGGCGACGAUGCGUAGCCGACCUGAGAGGGUGAUCGGCCACACUGGAACUGAGACACGGUCCAGACUCCUACGGGAGGCAGCAGUAGGGAAUCUUCCGCAAUGGGCGAAAGCCUGACGGAGCAACGCCGCGUGAGUGAUGAAGGUCUUCGGAUCGUAAAACUCUGUUAUUAGGGAAGAAAAACUGUGUAAGUAACUAUGCACGUCUUGACGGUACCUAAUCAGAAAGCCACGGCUAACUACGUG
This 497-nucleotide ribosomal RNA is filed under the name uncultured bacterium. RNAcentral describes it as "partial 16S ribosomal RNA". It matches the Rfam family "Bacterial small subunit ribosomal RNA", at positions 28 to 507 of the family's 1533-position model. The record is from RNAcentral.